GGCCAGACUCCUACGGGAGGCAGCAGUAGGGAAUCUUUCACAAUGGGCGAAAGCCUGAUGGAGCAACGCCGCGUGCAGGAUGAAGGCCUUCGGGUUGUAAACUGCUUUUAUAAGCGAGAAAUAUGAUGGUAACUUAUGAAUAAGGAUCGGCUAACUACGUGCCAGCAGCCGCGGUAGUACGUAGGGGGCAAGCGUUAUCCGGAUUUACUGGGUGUAAAGGGAGCGUAGACGGCAAGGCAAGUCUGGAGUGAAAGCCCGUGGCCCAACCACGGGACUGCUUUGGAAACUGUGUUGCUGGAGUGCAGGAGGGGUAAGCGGAAUUCCUAGUGUAGCGGUGAAAUGCGUAGAUAUUAGGAGGAACACCGGUGGCGAAGGCGGCUUACUGGACUGUAACUGACGUUGAGGCUCGAAGGCGUGGGGAGCAAACAGGAUUAGAUACCCCAGUA
This 446-nucleotide ribosomal RNA is filed under the name uncultured bacterium. Its description in RNAcentral is "bacterial SSU rRNA". It matches the Rfam family "Bacterial small subunit ribosomal RNA", at positions 329 to 792 of the family's 1533-position model. The record is from RNAcentral.